Molecule: ribosomal RNA, 893 nt
Filed under: Staphylococcus sp. M_A_04/12_3_1
Lineage: Bacteria; Bacillati; Bacillota; Bacilli; Caryophanales; Staphylococcaceae
Description: bacterial SSU rRNA
Rfam family: Bacterial small subunit ribosomal RNA
Source: RNAcentral
UCAGGAUGAACGCUGGCGGCGUGCCUAAUACAUGCAAGUCGAGCGAACAGAUGAAGGAGCUUGCUCCUCUGACGUUAGCGGCGGACGGGUGAGUAACACGUGGAUAACCUACCUAUAAGACUGGGAUAACUUCGGGAAACCGGAGCUAAUACCGGAUAACAUAUUGAACCGCAUGGUUCAAUAGUGAAAGACGGCUUUGCUGUCACUUAUAGAUGGAUCCGCGCCGUAUUAGCUAGUUGGUAAGGUAACGGCUUACCAAGGCAACGAUACGUAGCCGACCUGAGAGGGUGAUCGGCCACACUGGAACUGAGACACGGUCCAGACUCCUACGGGAGGCAGCAGUAGGGAAUCUUCCGCAAUGGGCGAAAGCCUGACGGAGCAACGCCGCGUGAGUGAAGAAGGUCUUCGGAUCGUAAAACUCUGUUAUCAGGGAAGAACAAAUGUGUAAGUAACUGUGCACAUCUUGACGGUACCUGAUCAGAAAGCCACGGCUAACUACGUGCCAGCAGCCGCGGUAAUACGUAGGUGGCAAGCGUUAUCCGGAAUUAUUGGGCGUAAAGCGCGCGUAGGCGGUUUUUUAAGUCUGAUGUGAAAGCCCACGGCUCAACCGUGGAGGGUCAUUGGAAACUGGAAAACUUGAGUGCAGAAGAGGAAAGUGGAAUUCCAUGUGUAGCGGUGAAAUGCGCAGAGAUAUGGAGGAACACCAGUGGCGAAGGCGACUUUCUGGUCUGUAACUGACGCUGAUGUGCGAAAGCGUGGGGAUCAAACAGGAUUAGAUACCCUGGUAGUCCACGCCGUAAACGAUGAGUGCUAAGUGUUAGGGGGUUUCCGCCCCUUAGUGCUGCAGCUAACGCAUAAGCAUCCGCCUGGAAACAUGCACCCCUCUAAAGGGG